GAUGAAGAACGCAGCGAAAUGCGAUAAGUAAUGUGAAUUGCAGAAUUCAGUGAAUCAUCGAAUCUUUGAACGCACCUUGCGCCCUUUGGCUAUUCUGAAGGGCAUGCCUGUUUGAGUAUCGUGAACACCUCAACUCUCAUGGUCUGCCAUGAUGAGCUUGGACUUUGGGGGUCUUGCUGGCCUACUGUCAGCUCCUCUCAAAUGAAUCAGCUUACCAGUGUUUGGUGGCACCACAGGUGUGAUAACUAUCUACGCUUGUGGUUUUCUGCCAGGUAACCUCCAGUGAUGGAGGUUCGCUGGAGCUCACAAAUGUCUCUCCUCAGCGAGGACAGCUUUUUGAACGUUUGAUCUCAAAUCAGGUAGGACUACCCGCUGAACUUAAGCAUAUCAAUAAGCGGAGGA
RNAcentral lists this unclassified non-coding RNA (402 nucleotides) under soil metagenome. Its description in RNAcentral is "partial contains 5.8S ribosomal RNA, internal transcribed spacer 2, and large subunit ribosomal RNA". The stretch from base 1 to 121 matches the Rfam family "5.8S ribosomal RNA", at positions 35 to 154 of the family's 154-position model. The record is from RNAcentral.